CUGAUUAGAAGCUUGCUUCUAUGACGUUAGCGGCGGACGGGUGAGUAACACGUGGGCAACCUGCCUGUAAGACUGGGAUAACUUCGGGAAACCGAAGCUAAUACCGGAUAGGAUCUUCUCCUUCAUGGGAGAUGAUUGAAAGAUGGUUUCGGCUAUCACUUACAGAUGGGCCCGCGGUGCAUUAGCUAGUUGGUGAGGUAACGGCUCACCAAGGCAACGAUGCAUAGCCGACCUGAGAGGGUGAUCGGCCACACUGGGACUGAGACACGGCCCAGACUCCUACGGGAGGCAGCAGUGGUCAUAGCAUUUUUUUCCUGA
Molecule: ribosomal RNA, 318 nt
Filed under: Bacillus sp. PG2.1
Lineage: Bacteria; Bacillati; Bacillota; Bacilli; Caryophanales; Bacillaceae
Description: bacterial SSU rRNA
Rfam family: Bacterial small subunit ribosomal RNA
Source: RNAcentral